AUGGCGGCGACUCACCACGGCUACAAUGUCCUCAAGAUGCUAGGAAGUGGCGGCAUCAUCACAGUCGCUUGCGACGAGAAGGACGCGACGUGCUUCCUCGAGCGCGCCUACCAGGCUGCAGCGGCCGAGAACUCAGACGAUGAGGGUGCCAUCCGUCCUCCUGAGGCCGUCCCCAAGAAGAAGCAUCUCCUCCUCAAGGACCGUCAGGAGCCUGGGGUGUCCGACGAUCGUGCCUCAGGUCCCACGCCCACUGCUAGGGCGCCUUUCUUUCGCAUAGAAAGGCGCGUUCGGCGCCCCUCUCAGGACGGGCUCGGGGGCUCUCGUCUGGAGGGCCUCUGA
RNAcentral lists this ribosomal RNA (339 nucleotides) under Triticum aestivum (bread wheat). RNAcentral's name for it is "partial small subunit ribosomal RNA". The record is from RNAcentral. Lineage: Eukaryota; Viridiplantae; Streptophyta; Magnoliopsida; Poales; Poaceae.